Prunus dulcis (almond) is the source of this 2896-nucleotide RNA transcript. RefSeq lists it as uncharacterized. The record is from RefSeq and is a predicted model, not a curated record. Lineage: Eukaryota; Viridiplantae; Streptophyta; Magnoliopsida; Rosales; Rosaceae. The transcript has 12 exons.
GCUAGGUAGGUCUAUCCCGAUAAAUUUUCACAGGAGAGGUCUAUCCUGAUAAUAUUUUCGCGGCCAUAGGUUCCCGUCAAAGAUUCGCCAGGUAGGUCCUUCCCGACAAACUUCAGGGGAUGAAAAUGAAUACAGAGAAGUAUAAGGACAUUGCGCCAAAACCCCACAAGAAUUCCAAUGACAAGCAUGUCCCCACCAAAAAACGAGAGGCAAAGAAGAGGCUGGAGUGCCAAAGGCGAUGAAGAUACCGGAUACAACAAGCCACACGAUUUUCCUUGUCAUAUCAUCAUAUCUAUAUUAUUUCGCUGGACAAUUGUAAGACAAAAUUGAAACCCAUUUUCAGGGUACUGUAGAUCUCACUGAGGAGAAGCUGCAGAAGUAAUUUUAUUUGAAAAACUCCCAUUUUGAUGCAAUGGUUCGUAACUUGUUGAAUUGGUAAAAUCCCAUUUGAUAGGUUGGAUUAUUUUAGCUAAGUGUUGGUGGAACUUGAUAGUAUUUCUUCUUGAGCAAUCGUGUUUUGUUGGGCGGGUUGACAUCACAUGACAAUGUUGCCUGUUUGCUCAGCCACCUCAAGCUGUUCUUAUCAUUCCCAGAUUUCCUUACAUGGAGGAUUGCAUGCCAAUUCCCCAUUCCAGAAGGAUUUUGAGGCCAGAUACAUUGCGGAAUGCAGGGGCUCUCUGGGCUUGUCAUUUGCAAUGCAUUUCCAAAGAGAUUCCUUCAAAGCACAUGCUACAAAGUCUUUGUAUUCUAACUUUGUGAAAAGCACAGAACAAUCAGUCUCCAUGGAUUUUGUUAAUAGGAGUUCCUGCUCAAAUGAAUCAGACUAUCUUAAUUGCAAGUAUUCAGAUAUGUGGAGUUCUUCUACUGGAACUUUAUAUAAACAACAUCCGUUGGGAAUGGUGGAACUGAAAUAUGUAGAAAGCUCUAGCCUUUUGGCCCCUGAUGAGGGACUCAUGGACUUUACUAAUCAGUCGACUGAGAAUGCAAGUAUUUUAUCAGGACCCGUAGAACCUGAAUUCAUUUUAGCUGCUGAUUUAACACCAGAAAAUGUCACCUCUGCAUCUGACCCCCUAGACAUUGAUGGUGAUCAAUUAUCCAGUGUGAAAACUAGUAUUGAGGAUUUUAUUGAUGGGGUUAGUAAGUCUUUCAGUGCUUCAGUCGAUAAGGGAGGAAGUUCUGUUAAAAGCUCACUAGACGCAAUCACUUCAUCAGUAUCAUCUGUUGUUAAAAGUGCUAAUGAAGCAGUGGAUAAUGCUGUUGGCAGAAUGUUUUCCACAAUUGAUCAAACGGGACAAUUAGGUGGCAGUAAAAUGGCAAAUUUUUCAAGCGACUUUAAGGAAGCCACAAGUAAAGGAACUGUUAUUGCUAUUGAUAUUUUGAGACGUACAUUUGUUGUGGUGGAGGAUUCUCUAUCAAAUGGGGUUUCCUUUGUUGUUAGUUCUUACCAGUCUGCCAAGGACUUUCUUCCUCCUGACGUUAGUGAUGCACUAAAUUUUUCUGAAAAGAGAGCAGCAGAGUUCCUGGGGCCUGCCAAGAGUGCUUUUCAACAGGUUUAUAUUGCUAUUGAGGGGUUGGAGGAAAAUCUUGGCUUGGAUCCAAAUGAUCCAAUCAUUCCAUUUGUUAUAUUCCUUGGCACCUCAGCCACUUUAUGGGUCAUUUAUCUGGUGCGGACAUUCAGUGGUUAUGCUGGAGAUUUAUCUCCUCAAUCGACAUUGGAGCUCUUGACAGGGAAGGAGAAUGCUGUGCUCAUUGAUGUCCGACCCGAGGUUAUGAGAGAAAAGGAGGGUAUUCCAGAUCUUCGACGAACAGCUCGCUUUCGUUAUGCAAGCGUGACUCUACCUGAGGUUGAUGGCUCUUUAUGGAAGUUAUUGAAGAGUGGAAAAGAUCUUGAUGAUACCUUAACUGCUGCUGUUAUUCGGAACUUGAAGAUUGUUCAGGACAGGUCCAAGGUCAUUAUUAUGGAUGGUGAUGGUACUCGUUCCAAAGGAAUUGCAAGAUCCUUGAGAAAGCUUGGGCUUAAGAAACCUUACUUGGUUCAAGGUGGCUUUCAGUCUUGGGUGAAACAUGGUCUUCGUAUUAAGGAACUCAAACCCGAGACGACGCUUACCAUACUCAAUGAGGAAGCUGAGGCAAUUCUGGAGAAUAUCAAUCCUUCUCGUGCUCAAGUUCUUGGAUAUGGUGUGAGUGGGAGAAGACAUUGCAAUUGAUUGGCGUUGUUGGCCUUGGUCAGACCAUUUAUCGACGGGUGGCAACUUAUGAGAAUGCUGAAGAUUUCAAGCAAGAUGUGAGGCUGCUGCUUGCGCCUGUUAGAGUUGGAGCUCAGGCAUUUUCGUGGGCUGCUGGAAAAUUGGAAUCAAACGGCAUUGGACUACCAACAUCUCCUUCAUCUUCAGAUGUUAAAAACCGGGUAUUGCAGGCUGCUGCAAAGCAUGAAUCUCAACCGUCUGAUACUGAAGGUAUCCAAGAGUCAUCUCUUGAAUCAACAAUUCCGGUCAAUGACAGUGUAGAUCUCUCCGAAGCAUAAGGUUGAUAUUUCAGCAGCCAACAAAGAACAAAGGUUGAUAUUUUCUAGCAGUAGGCACUCCUUCCAUUAGAGCCUCAUGCUGUAGCUUGAAAUGUGAUCUGAGCUGUAUUAGCAGUGAAUGAAGGUUGAGUUAAUUAACUGAUGAUUCUCUAAGAAGAUGCACUAUAUGGUGAUUGGCCUUUUGUGCAGAAUUAUAGCAUAGUCGUUAUGUUUCAUCCUAAUGAACUGAAGUGAGUUUUGUGCAUCUUGCAUAAAACAAUUAUUCAAUUUUCAGUUGAUGCCAACAAACAAGCACCAACAUGGAUAUAUAGGGGAAGCCGUCGUCAUGUACAGAUUUUGGUCGCAGUCAAUAUAUGGUUAUAGUAAGACUCA